This 1501-nucleotide ribosomal RNA is filed under the name Ruminococcus sp. A254.MGS-254. Its description in RNAcentral is "bacterial LSU rRNA". It matches the Rfam family "Bacterial large subunit ribosomal RNA", at positions 1086 to 2613 of the family's 2925-position model. The record is from RNAcentral. Lineage: Bacteria; Bacillati; Bacillota; Clostridia; Eubacteriales; Oscillospiraceae.
AAGACAACCAGGAUGUUGGCUCAGAAGCAGCCAUACAUUCAAAGAGUGCGUAAUAGCUCACUGGUCGAGAGGUCCUGCGCCGAAAAUGUCCGGGGCUGAAACACGACACCGAAGCUGAGGAAUGUCUGAAGACAUUGGUAGAGGAGCAUUGGAUACGCAACGAAGCAGUACCGGAAGGAGCUGUGGAGUGUAUCGAAGAGAGAAUGCCGGAAUGAGUAGCGAGAGAGAGGUGGGAAUCCUCUCGGCCGAAUAUCUAAGGUUUCCAGGGUAAAGCUGAUCUGCCCUGGGUAAGUCGGGGCCUAAGGCGAGGACGAGAGUCGUAGCCGAUGGACAACAGGUUGAGAUUCCUGUACUGCAGUAAGACAGAACUGUGGGGACACGUGUGGAGAGCAUAGGCGCGGAAUGGAAAGCCGCGUGCAAGCGAGGUAGGAGUCCUGUAGGAAAAACCGCAGGGCAAUCCGAAGGCGUGAUGCGGACCGAAAUCUAGUAGGGAAGUAUGUGAGCCAUGCGUCAAGAAAAGCCGCUAUUGUUCUUAUUGUACCCGUACCGUAAACCGACACAGGUGGAUGAGGAGAGAAUCCUAAGGCCGACGGAAGAAGCAUUGUUAAGGAACUCGGCAAAAUGACCCCGUAACUUCGGGAGAAGGGGUGCCACAGAAAUGUGGCCGCAGAGAAUAGGCUCAAGCAACUGUUUAGCAAAAACACAGGUCUAUGCAAAACCGAAAGGUGAGGUAUAUGGGCUGACGCCUGCCCGGUGCUGGAAGGUUAAGAGGAGAGGUUAGCGCAAGCGAAGCUUUGAAUUGAAGCCCCAGUAAACGGCGGCCGUAACUAUAACGGUCCUAAGGUAGCGAAAUUCCUUGUCGGGUAAGUUCCGACCCGCACGAAAGGCGUAAUGAUUUGAGCGCUGUCUCGACAAUGCAUCCGGUGAAAUUGAAGUACCAGUGAAGAUGCUGGUUACCUGCGCCAGGACGGAAAGACCCCAUGGAGCUUUACUCCAGCUUGAUACUGGGAUUCGGUAUUGCAUGUACAGGAUAGGUGGGAGGCUGUGAAUCGGUAACGCCAGUUGCCGAGGAGCCAUUGUUGGGAUACCACCCUUGCAGUACUGGGUUUCUAACCAGCAGCCGUGACCCGGCUGGGGGACAAUGUCAGGUGGGGAGUUUGACUGGGGCGGUCGCCUCCGAAAGGGUAUCGGAGGCGCUCAAAGGUUCCCUCAGAAUGGUUGGAAACCAUUCGAAGAGUGCAAAGGCAGAAGGGAGCUUGACUGCGACACCGACGGGUGGAGCAGGUACGAAAGUAGGACUUAGUGAUCCGGUGGUAUUAAGUGGGAAUGCCAUCGCUCAACGGAUAAAAGCUACCCUGGGGAUAACAGGCUUAUCACUCCCAAGAGUUCACAUCGACGGAGUGGUUUGGCACCUCGAUGUCGGCUCAUCGCAUCCUGGGGCUGUAGUAGGUCCCAAGGGUUGGGCUGUUCGCCCAUUAAAGCGGUACGCGAGCUGGGUUCA